Molecule: long non-coding RNA, 3062 nt
Filed under: Bos grunniens (domestic yak)
Lineage: Eukaryota; Metazoa; Chordata; Mammalia; Artiodactyla; Bovidae
Description: lncRNA (ENSBGRG00000020494.1)
Source: RNAcentral
AUGGCUGCAGUCACCAUCUGCAGUGAUUUUGGAGCCCCAAAAAAUAAAGACACUAUGUCUAUAAUGUCUUUUCUCCCACAGGGGCUCCUUGGAGCCUUCAUGGACCCCCUACGAGAACGUUAUCUACCCCCUCCAACUCCAUCUGAUGCAGGAGAAACACUGAGGCUCAGAGAGGAGAUGGACUUGCCCAGACUCCCCAGAGGGAAAGGGGCAAGGAUGGAGGUGGAAAGGCCUGAGCUACAUUCUGCUGUCAAGGGUCUUAGAUGCCGAGAUGGAGGUGUCAUACCUACCCCAUCGGGUGAUGAUGAAAAUUACAUGACACUAUGCAGAAAGGGCAUCGGUUCCCAUCGCCUGCACCACCGAAAAGCUUCUGCAAGUGCAAAAAGUCACAUUAUUUGUUAGUCACAGGAACAGAGACUACAAGAGACUGAACUGAAGCCACACGGCAGGCAGAGCUGAGGAGGGACCAAGACUCCCGCUUGGUAACUUUAGCAAGAGGUGGCAAAGCGCGGGGCUGUGCGCGAGGCCCUGGAGUCAGGCUAAUGGCCUGCCACUCACAAGCUCGGUGACCUGAGGCAGCUUCCUAAGCUUCUCUGUGCCUCCUGUUCUCCAUCUGUAAAAUGAAGAUUAUAAUAGCACACCGGUCCCCGUAGGGUUGCUGGAAGCAGUUAAUUUGUGUCAAGUGCUUGGAGGAGUGCCUUCGUGGAGUACCAAGAAAACAGUUCAGAUAGUGCUGUGUGACCUUCAGCAAGUCCCUUCCCUCUCUGGGCCUCUGCUUCACCCCUGGAAAACGAAUCGUUAGACUAGUUCAGCCGGAGGUUCCUUCCUUCUGGCUUUGACGUCUGCCAUUCUGGGGAGUGGAGGCGCGAUCCCCACUGUUUCGGUCCUCACACCCCUGAGGGCAGGGUCCCUCUUCAGCCCCUGUCUACCCUUCUCCUCUCCCCUGUUCCAGGAGAGACACAGGCACCAGAGGGGGGGGUGGUGCUGGCGGUGAAGGAGCAGGGAGGCAGCCCAGGCUGGGGCAGUGGGAGGGGAUAGACGCCUCCGACCAGCUCUCUUUCCGGUUCCCACUGCUCUCUGUGCCCCGGGGGUGGGCAGGCCCCUGCUCCCCUCUGACCCGGGAGGGUGCCUACCAAGGCAGGGCUGGCUUGCCCCCUCCAUCAGGACGGAGGAACCCCCAGGGGAGUCCCCUCCUUGGCUCGGCAGAGUCAGGCAGGGUUUGCCCAAGAAUGAAGACAGCAGAGACCAGGAACCGAGCCCUGACAGCUGGGGAGCCUCAGGCCGGGGGACCCCCAAUUCUCUGAGCCUGUCUUGGGGUCAGCGCAGACUAGGCCAUGUCUUGGGCCCUCCUGGACCUGGUGACACAGAUGUCCCAACCCAGGGAGGUAAGAGCUCAAAGUUCCCGACUGGAAACCCCGGACCAGGAAGCAAAUGCUACUCUCCUUCAGCCCUCCCCUGACCCUCCCCGCACCUGCGGCCAUUGUUUCCAAGGAAAUCAGGCCUCAACCAGGAGGAGGCAGCCUCCCUUCCACCCUCCCCACACCCUCUGCCCUCCCCAGGGACGUUCCCAGGCCUCCCUCAGCCCCACCCCAUUUCCUUCCCACUCCCUGGCUGGGGCCUCAGCUGCCCAUUAGUCCAUCUUUCCAUCCAUCCAUCCAUCCCUUUACUCCACACAUAGCUUUUUGCUAGACACUGCACUCGAGGCCACGGAUGCCUAUAAAAUCUGACAAAGCUUCUGUCUCUAUGGACUCCCUGCUCAGGGCAGGAGACGGAGAAGCAGAAAGACUGUUUGAUAAGGUGAGAUCUGUGUCCCGAUCCCAGGGCCCCCGACACUGGCAGGAUCGGGGAAGGCUUCUCAGGGGAGACGAUGCCCAUGCUGGACUCAGUGAUUAAGUAUGAGGGCACAUGGAGAAGUCUGGAAGCGAGUCUGUCAGUGAGGGCCUGCUGCACUCACUGUUGGUCACCAGUGUCUGGAACAGCGUAACGUGCAACUGGUGCUCAGUGUGUGUGUGUGUGUGUGUGUGUGUGUGCGUGCGCACUUAGUCGUGUCCGACUCUGUGCGACCCCAUAGACCGCAGCCCACCAGGCCCCUCCGUCCAUGGGAUUCUUCAGGCAAGAACACUGGAGUGGGUUGCCAUUUCCUUCUCCAAAAGGAAUUACAGAAAGAAAGAAACUGAUGUCACUCAGUCCUGUCCUACUCCUUGCGACCCCAUGGACUGUAGCCCACCAGGCCCCUCUGUCCACGGGAUUCUCCAGGCAAGAGCACUGGAGUGGGCUGCCACUUCCUGCUCUGGUGCUCAGCAGGUGUUGGAACAAGUCACAGUGUUUGGGGACAACGUCCCACAGCUCUUGGAGCUGAAGCGGCCGCUGUGCCUGUGAGCUGAAGCAUCGUGGGUGCUAGUGGAUAGGACCACGUGGCGCCUCUGGGGCCCCAGAGACCCCACACACUUGCUCUGAGGGCAGUAGGGGGCCACGGGGGCCAUAAGCGGCCCAGGGACACCCGCCUCACCCUCCGUUCCCUUCCCCGAUCUAAUCUUCUGAUCAGCCCUGUAGCAGCUGCCCUUUCUCUCAGCCAAGUCCAUAUCAUCUGGUGGUUUGUGGAAAUAAGCACAUGUUAAGCACCUACUGCAUGCCAGAUGUUUUAUUGGGAGCUGGAAAUGAAUUGAACAGUCCUGCCCACACAUUACCCACAGUCCAGGACUGAGACUCAUUAUGAGUAUAGUUGAUUUACAAGGUUGUGUUCAGAUCAGAUCAGUCACUCAGUCGUGUCCGACUCUUUGCAACCCCAUGAAUCGCAGCACGCCGGGCCUCCCUGUCCAUCACCAACUCCUGGAGUUCACUCAGACUCACGUCCAUCAAGUUAGUGAUGCCAUCCAGCCAUCUCAUCCUCUGUCGUCCCCUUCUCCUCUUGCCCCCAAUCCAUCCCAGUAUCAGAGUCUUUUCCAAUGAGUCAACUCUUCGCAUGAGGUGGCCAAAGUACUGGAGUUUCAGCUUUAGCAUCAUUCCUUCCAAAGAAAUCCCAGGGCUGAUCUCCUUCAGAAUGGACUGGUUGGAUCUCGUUG